AGCUCGCGUCUGAUUAGCUAGUUGGUGAGGUAAAGGCUCACCAAGGCGACGAUCAGUAGCUGGUCUGAGAGGAUGAUCAGCCACACUGGGACUGAGACACGGCCCAGACUCCUACGGGAGGCAGCAGUGGGGAAUCUUGCACAAUGGGCGAAAGCCUGAUGCAGCAACGCCGCGUGCGGGAUGAAGGCCCUAGGGUUGUAAACCGCUUUCAGCAGGGAAGAAAUUGACGGUACCUGCAGAAGAAGGUGCGGCCAACUACGUGCCAGCAGCCGCGGUGACACGUAGGCACCAAGCGUUGUCCGGAUUUAUUGGGCGUAAAGAGCUCGUAGGCGGUUCAGUUAGUCGGGUGUUAAAACUCUGGGCUCAACCCAGAGACGCCACUCGAUACUGCUGUGACUAGAGUGCGGUAGGGGAGCGGGGAAUUCCUGGUGUAACGGUGAAAUGCGCAGAUAUCAGGAGGAACACCAGUGGCGAAGGCGCCGCUCUGGGCCGUAACUGACGCUGAGGAGC
Molecule: ribosomal RNA, 510 nt
Filed under: uncultured bacterium
Lineage: Bacteria
Description: bacterial SSU rRNA
Rfam family: Bacterial small subunit ribosomal RNA
Source: RNAcentral